UUCCAGCUCCAAUAGCGCAUAUUAAAGUUGUUGCAGUUAAAAAGCUCGUAGUUGGAUUUCUGUGAGAGUGCCGGUGUCGGCUGAUGCUUGUACGCAGGCGCUCUUACAUCCUUCUGUUAACUGUUCUUGGCAUUUUAUUGCUGGUUCAGGGCUCAGAUAUUUUACCUUGAGAAAAUUAGAGUGUUUCAGGCAGGCUUAUGCCGGAAUACAUUAGCAUGGAAUAAUGAGAUAGGAUUACGUCUAUUUUGUUGGUUGCGGACGAUAAUAAUGAUUAAUAGGGAUAGUUGGGGGUGUCCGUAUUGAGCUGUCAGAGGUGAAAUUCUUGGAUUUGCUCAAGACGAACUACUGCGAAAGCAUUCACCAAGGAUGUUUUCAUCA
This 378-nucleotide ribosomal RNA is filed under the name Holosticha sp. RNAcentral's name for it is "partial small subunit ribosomal RNA". It matches the Rfam family "Eukaryotic small subunit ribosomal RNA", at positions 583 to 975 of the family's 1831-position model. Lineage: Eukaryota; Ciliophora; Spirotrichea; Urostylida; Holostichidae. The record is from RNAcentral.